CCCGAGUGCUCCGUGAUCGCUGCGCAUGCGUGAGCUGAGAGAAGGUGAGAAAGGAGAACAACUCUUUUUCGCAGGAUGUGACGUCACAUUGUUGCUUGUUUUUACUUUUUUGAAAGAGCUACUCUCGAACGUAGAUUAGCCAUUGCCGUCGUGUCGGCUGCAAGACUUUCUGCGCGCGCUUUUGUGCAUGUCGAAAGCGUAUAACGUGCGCGAUAUUCGUGCGAGCGCAGUUUGACUUGAGCAAUCGUGGGUUUGGACUCCGUGACAUUUGCUUUCGUCAUAUGCGAGUUAGGGGCUUGCCGACAGAUGAGUUGAGAUUUACACAUCAAUGCCAGCUCACAAAGCAUCUAAUACGGCAAUCAGCCAGCCACCUCCGCAGAU
RNAcentral lists this long non-coding RNA (381 nucleotides) under Dermacentor andersoni. RNAcentral describes it as "uncharacterized LOC126530135". Lineage: Eukaryota; Metazoa; Arthropoda; Arachnida; Ixodida; Ixodidae. The record is from RNAcentral.